CACCGCCUGGGGAGUACGACCGCAAGGUUAAAACUCAAAUGAAUUGACGGGGACCCGCACAAGUAGUGGAGCAUGUGGUUUAAUUCGAAGAUACGCGCAGAACCUUACCAACACUUGACAUGUUCGUCGCGACUUUGAGAGAUCAAAGUUUUCGGUUCGGCCGGACGAAACACAGGUGCUGCAUGGCUGUCGUCAGCUCGUGUCGUGAGAUGUUGGGUUAAGUCCCGCAACGAGCGCAACCCUCACUUUUAGUUGCCAUCAUUAAGUUGGGCACUCUGAAAGAACUGCCAGUGAUAAGCUGGAGGAAGGUGGGGAUGACGUCAAGUCCUCAUGGCCCUUACGUGUUGGGCUACACACGUGCUACAAUGGUAUCUACAACAGGAAGCAAAACUGCGAAGUUAAGCAAAUCCUUAAAAGAUACCUCAGUUCGGAUUGCACUCUGCAACUCGAGUGCAUGAAGCUGGAAUUACUAGUAAUCGUGGAUCAGCGUGCCACGGUGAAUGCGUUCCCGGGUCUUGUACACACCGCCCGUCACACCAUGGGAGUUGGUUCUACCUUAAGGCAAGGUUUAAAAUCCUUGACCACGGUAUAGUCAGCGACUGGGGUGAAGUCGUAACAAGGUAGCCGUAGGGGAACCUGCGGCUGGAUUACCUCCUUUCUAAGGAUGAAUGAAAUUAAAAUUUCAUUCUAAAUAAUAUACACAGGCAAUGUUGACCGUCUUCAUAUUUCUUCUUAAAAUUAAAGUGUUUCCUUGUUGGGGCCGGUAGCUCAGUUGGUUAGAGCACACCCUUGAUAAGGGUGGGGUCGAAAGUUCGAGUCUUUCUCGGCCCACCAUAUUUUAAUCGGGGGAUUAGCUCAGCUGGGAGAGCGCCUGAUUUGCAUUCAGGAGGUCAGCGGUUCGAUCCCGCUAUCCUCCACCAGGAGACAUUUAGCUAUAAAAAUUGUAAAUAAUUUAAUAAUUAAUAUCAAUAUCUAUAUCCGAACAUUAGUAAUUUUAGUAAGUAAUGUUCAAAAUAAAAAUUUGAUUCAACACAGAAUUUUUUUCUG
RNAcentral lists this small RNA (1047 nucleotides) under uncultured Pelagibacterales bacterium. RNAcentral describes it as "bacterial SSU rRNA". The stretch from base 1 to 658 matches the Rfam family "Bacterial small subunit ribosomal RNA", at positions 867 to 1533 of the family's 1533-position model. The record is from RNAcentral. Lineage: Bacteria; Pseudomonadati; Pseudomonadota; Alphaproteobacteria; Candidatus Pelagibacterales.